RNAcentral lists this ribosomal RNA (854 nucleotides) under Humicola homopilata. RNAcentral's name for it is "partial large subunit ribosomal RNA". It matches the Rfam family "Eukaryotic large subunit ribosomal RNA", at positions 81 to 968 of the family's 3401-position model. Lineage: Eukaryota; Fungi; Ascomycota; Sordariomycetes; Sordariales; Chaetomiaceae. The record is from RNAcentral.
UAGUAACGGCGAGUGAAGCGGCAACAGCUCAAAUUUGAAAUCUGGCUUCGGCCCGAGUUGUAAUUUGCAGAGGAAGCUUUAGGCGCGGCACCAACUGAGUCCCCUGGAACGGGGCGCCACAGAGGGUGAGAGCCCCGUAUAGUUGGACGCCUAGCCUGUGUAAAGCUCCUUCGACGAGUCGAGUAGUUUGGGAAUGCUGCUCAAAAUGGGAGGUAAAUUUCUUCUAAAGCUAAAUACCGGCCAGAGACCGAUAGCGCACAAGUAGAGUGAUCGAAAGAUGAAAAGCACUUUGAAAAGAGGGUUAAAUAGCACGUGAAAUUGUUGAAAGGGAAGCGCUUGUGACCAGACUUGCGCCCGGCUGAUCAUCCGGUGUUCUCACCGGUGCACUCUGCCGGGCUCAGGCCAGCAUCGGUUCUCGCGGGGGGAUAAAGGUCCUGGGAACGUAGCUCCUCCGGGAGUGUUAUAGCCCAGGGCGUCAUGCCCUCGCGGGGACCGAGGUUCGCGCAUCUGCAAGGAUGCUGGCGUAAUGGUCAUCAGCGACCCGUCUUGAAACACGGACCAAGGAGUCAAGGUUUUGCGCGAGUGUUUGGGUGUAAAACCCGCACGCGUAAUGAAAGUGAACGUAGGUGAGAGCUUCGGCGCAUCAUCGACCGAUCCUGAUGUUUUCGGAUGGAUUUGAGUAGGAGCGUUAAGCCUUGGACCCGAAAGAUGGUGAACUAUGCUUGGAUAGGGUGAAGCCAGAGGAAACUCUGGUGGAGGCUCGCAGCGGUUCUGACGUGCAAAUCGAUCGUCAAAUCUGAGCAUGGGGGCGAAAGACUAAUCGAACCAUCUAGUAGCUGGUUACCGCCGAAGUU